RNAcentral lists this ribosomal RNA (503 nucleotides) under uncultured bacterium. Its description in RNAcentral is "bacterial SSU rRNA". It matches the Rfam family "Bacterial small subunit ribosomal RNA", at positions 29 to 524 of the family's 1533-position model. The record is from RNAcentral.
AACGAACGCUGGCGGCGCGCCUAAUACAUGCAAGUCGAGCGAGAAGACGUAGCAAUACGUUUGUAAAGCGGCGAACGGGUGAGGAAUACAUGGGUAACCUACCCUCGAGUGGGGAAUAACUAGCCGAAAGGUUAGCUAAUACCGCGUACGCUCCUUGGACUUCGGUUCAGGGAGGAAAGCGAUACCGUGGGUAUCGCGCUCUUGGAUGGGCUCAUGUCCUAUCAGCUUGUUGGGAGGUAACGGCUCACCAAGGCUUCGACGGGUAGCUGGUCUGAGAGGACGAUCAGCCACACUGGCACUGCGACACGGGCCAGACUCCUACGGGAGGCAGCAGUAAGGAAUAUUGCGCAAUGGGCGAAAGCCUGACGCAGCGACGCCGCGUGGGGGAUGAAGGUCUUCGGAUUGUAAACCCCUUUCCGGGAGGGAAGAUGGAACGAGCAACCGUUCGGACGGUACCGUCCAGAAGCAGCCACGGCUAACUUCGUGCCAGCAGCCGCUGUAAC